GGACAUUGUUAGAUUGUUCUUGUGGGAGAAGGAACACGAAGGCUUCUAUCUGACUGAUCGUAUCUUUCUUUGAUAAUAACUCGGGAGACGCUAACAGUUCCAGCUUUGCAGAUCUCAGAGUGUGAAUUUCUGUGUAUCGCCUCAUGCUCCUUGGAACAGUAAGAAAUCAUAUUGCACCGAUUACACGUUAUCAAGUCUCUGCUGUGCAGUUUGCAAACAUGACAAACGUUUGGAUUGAAAAACUGAUU
Odontomachus brunneus is the source of this 248-nucleotide long non-coding RNA. RefSeq lists it as uncharacterized. The transcript is spliced from 3 exons. The record is from RefSeq and is a predicted model, not a curated record. Lineage: Eukaryota; Metazoa; Arthropoda; Insecta; Hymenoptera; Formicidae.